Molecule: ribosomal RNA, 487 nt
Filed under: uncultured bacterium
Lineage: Bacteria
Description: bacterial SSU rRNA
Rfam family: Bacterial small subunit ribosomal RNA
Source: RNAcentral
AAUGAACGUUGGCGGCGUGGAUUAGGCAUGCAAGUCGAACGGACCAUGGUAGCAAUAUUAUGGUUAGUGGCGCAAGGGAGAGUAAUACGUAGGUAUUUACCCUGGGGUCUGGGAUAGCGGCGGGAAACUGCCGGUAAUACCAGAUGAUAUCUCCGGAUCAAAGGUGUGAUUCCGCCCUAGGAGAAGCCUGCGGUCUAUCAGCUAGUUGGUAGGGUAACGGCCUACCAAGGCAAAGACGGAUAUGGGGCGUGAGAGCGUGCCCCCACUCACUGGGACUGAGACACUGCCCAGACACCUACGGGUGGCUGCAGUCGAGAAUCUUCGGCAAUGGGCGCAAGCCUGACCGAGCGACGCCGCGUGCGGGAUGAAGGCCUUCGGGUUGUAAACCGCUGUCGAAGGGGAGGAAAUUGUAGUGGGUUCACCCAUUAUAUUGACCGAUCCUUGGAGGAAGGGCCGGCUAAUCUCGUGCCAGCAGCCGCCGUAAAAC